GUCAGGAUGGCCGAGCGGUCUAAAGCGCCAGACUCACGUUCUGGUCCAAGAAUGUGGGCGUGGGUUCGAAUCCCACUUCUGACA
Molecule: non-coding RNA, 84 nt
Organism: Argiope bruennichi
Lineage: Eukaryota; Metazoa; Arthropoda; Arachnida; Araneae; Araneidae
Source: the annotation of a RefSeq genome assembly